GUUCAUUUCUGGGUCGUGCUACAAGUGAGAAACUAACGGCCGUUUGGCUGUCCAAUCGCGUGACUGUGGACAUUUGAAAGCAGACUUCCGCCCGCCUUUUCUACCGUUGGAAAUGCAAGAUGCGGCGACUUGACUUCAGACACCGAGAGAGGCUGGCGGCCCAGGUCUUGUGGCCACAUCUGUCCAAGCUCCUACUCUGAUUGAACAGUUGGAUGAUCAGACUGAUGAUGAAAAGUGCUACACAGUUCUCACACAUCUUCUGACUCCGAAGCCGCUGCAGUGUAAAAUCUGAGAUGUCUUUUCUGGUUGAUUUUGUGCAGAUUUCUGACAGCGAUGGUGAGGGAAGCAGUGUACCGAACUCUCAGAUGACUCGGACCAGGUGACCAAACCCAUGCAAAGCACAAUGACUGUGCUGAGGCGUUCCGCCCCCCUCCCUCUCCACACCACUCAAGGCACGGCGGCGGCCCAACCGCAAACUAACGGAGAUUAACAUGAGGCUGGACGCUUGGCUCCCUGCUGCGUCCAUCACCAGAGGGGCCGGGAUUGCUGCGGCAGCUGGCCAAUUAAAGGAGGAGGAUGAAGGAGAGGAGUCUGACGAUGCAGACAUCGCCAUCGUAUGCAGUCCACGCCCUCGCAGGAAAACCAGCCAAUGAAAACGCUGGCAGCAGCAUCAGCAGAACACACCGGCACGACUGACAGAGCUUCUGAAGCAUGCAGUGGAAGACCUGUCAGUCAAGCUAAAGGUCCCGCCCUACAACCUGCUGCUGCUGCACGGAGAGGCGGAACUUAACACCUCACACACUAUUGGCCAGCUAGGACUCUGCAUCGCUGACAUCUUUGUCUGGAACCAACUUCACAUCCCUCUUCACUGCACUACUGACACUGAGAUGGAAUCCACAACCCAACCACUAGUGGUCUGCAUUGGGAACCUGAAGAGUCUGUCAUCACCGCCAGGAAUGACCGUGUGACCAUUCCCGUUGCAGACGGCCUGACUUGCACAAUUGACAAGCUGUUCAAGCUUUACUGGGUCUGCAACUUGUUAUAUCCAGCACAGCUCAGCUCUGUUUUCACCUUCUUUGAAUAUGUUUAUGACGUUCCCAUCUCAACCAACAAACGAACAAAGGCACUACAACUUCUCUCAAAGCUUCCCAGCAGCCCAGUGAUCACUCAACAUGUGUUUAUGCCCAAAAUGUAAAUAGUUACUACAGACAUCAAGAAAGUAGUUUGGCAUCUUUGUCAUGUACACGCUUUGUCAGAUGCACAGGAUAUGAUGAUAAUUUGCAGCCAAGAUGGCUGUUCAAGUGUACAAGGACUUACUAUGUAGACACCACCUACGUAGACACCACCAGUCCACAACAACAGAAAUGGGAGUAUCUUUCAAUGACUCUUUUGAAUCCACUGACAUUCAGACAGCCUAUGCAGCUUCAAGUAACACCUGAAGAAAGAGCAUUUUGUGUCCCUUCUCAAGGACCGAUUCUCCAUAAUUUACCACUUAAUGACAAUUUAUCUGUGUUCAUGCUUGUUAGGAUUAUUACAGGGAAUUAUUUUGAUUAUCAUUUUGGCAACACUUUAUUUUAUCAUUACAUCUAUCAGCUCUAAUACAUACAGUGUUAAUGCCUGUAUGCAUACAGUGUUAAUGCCUGUAUGCUGUAUAAGUAACUUGUAAGGCAUGCACUAAGCAAAAUCAAACAUACGUUAGGCAUGUAUUCGCAAAUGCCUUGUUCAUGCACAAUUUGGGAUUUAUUACCUAAUAUAACCUCAGUAAGGACCUAACAAAUGUUUGAUUUCGCUUAGUACAUGCCUUACAAGUUACUUAUACAGGCAUUAACCCAUUGAUACUGGAUGUUGCGUUGUGCAACAUUGGCCCUGGCGCCUGUAUGUAUUUGUAUG
Molecule: long non-coding RNA, 1890 nt
Organism: Engraulis encrasicolus (European anchovy)
Lineage: Eukaryota; Metazoa; Chordata; Actinopteri; Clupeiformes; Engraulidae
Exons: 8
Source: RefSeq, a predicted model, not a curated record